RNAcentral lists this ribosomal RNA (162 nucleotides) under uncultured bacterium. RNAcentral describes it as "partial 16S rRNA". It matches the Rfam family "Bacterial small subunit ribosomal RNA", at positions 358 to 511 of the family's 1533-position model. The record is from RNAcentral.
GGAAUCUUCGGCAAUGGACGAAAGUCUGACCGAGCAACACCGCGUGAGUGAAGAAGGUUUUCGGAUCGUAAAACUCUGUUGGUAGAGAAGAACGUUGGUGAGAGUGGAAAGCUCAUCAAGUGACGGUAACUACCCAGAAAGGGACGGCUAACUACGUGCCUG